GGAGAGCUGGCCGAGUGGUCGAAGGCGCGGCACUGGAAAUGCCGUGUACCGGAAACGGUACCUAGGGUUCGAAUCCCUAGCUCUCCG
RNAcentral lists this transfer RNA (87 nucleotides) under Myxococcales bacterium. Its description in RNAcentral is "tRNA-Ser". It matches the Rfam family "tRNA". Rfam says of the family: Transfer RNA (tRNA) molecules are approximately 80 nucleotides in length. Their secondary structure includes four short double-helical elements and three loops (D, anti-codon, and T loops). The record is from RNAcentral. Lineage: Bacteria; Pseudomonadati; Myxococcota; Myxococcia; Myxococcales.